AACUUUUUCCCAAGCGAGACACAUUUCUGAGUAUUUGGCGUUCAAGUAGAAAAAUAUGAGUCAUGGGAAAUCUUUUGUGUUCUUGAUCUAAAGUUGAAGUUUUAAGUGCUACAACACACAACCACCUGUCGACAUUGCCAUAUAAAAGGUACAGGUGUAGACUCUAGUUCACUAGGACCAAGAUGAAACUUCCGUCGUACUUAGCGUGGUUUGGGGCGAAUCGGCAAAAAAUGAAUGGACGAACACGGGUUAGUCAAAGAUCUGCAGAGAAAGCAAGGAAGAUGGCGAUCCCACGUGCUGUUAUGGAGAGAUUCCUCGCUUCUAAUUUCGAGGGCGAUUACAAACCGGUUCCGCUCAACCACCAGGGCAAGUACCAGCUGCUCACGGUCAUGGCGGAGGACAGAUGCGUGCUGAGAAGGUGGAGAAAAACGCCCAAACUGCGUCCAGUCGGCGUCUUGGAGAACUAUUUCGUCAGCGCAGUGUUUAACGACAAGCUGAAGGAGGUUAUCCACGAGCAGAGAGGCUACCACGGACAGGGAGAGCAUGUGGGGACGAACCGUAUUGCCGGGGGAGUAGAGGUAGACUCGGUCGUGGACCGAGUCAGCGUCAGCGCGAGCAGCUUUAGCCAGGCAGAAGCAGACGAACCAGACGGAGCCGGGGCGGGAGUUCAUAAGGAGGUAGUGAUCCCUCCCAUGAAACUUGGUCGCGUGUGGCAGACGUGGAUUGAGGAGGAGGACCUAGCGGACAGCAUCAGGAACGUCAGGACCUCACUCACAGACAAGGACAAAAGGCUCUACCUGAUCAACGACCUGUUCCACAGCCAGUGUUUCAAACUUCUGGACCAAUUUGAAACUUCCAUGGGCAUAAACGGGAACGUUUCUGGCUUUGCAAAGCUCUUCAGUGCUUCAGCUAAGGCUUCGAGGGAAAGCACGUCUGCAACCAUCCUGGAGCGAAAACACGAGGCACCCAUUGCCUUUGGCUGUGUACGAGUAAAGGUCCAAGAAGAUGGAACCCUGAUGGUGGUCAGGACAAACUCAGUGUCCGGAAUUGUGGACCCUACCCGAGGACCCUUACUGCGGCCACGAGGAGUGGACAAAGGAUUGGUGCAUCACAUAGAGCUGGGGAGGCUGGGCAGUGAAUCCCCAUCUCCUCCUGCAAGUGAUGAAGAAGAGACAAGCCCAGACUGCCCACAAGGAUUUGUGCGCAGGAAGGACGUGAAGUCCCUGGGGACCAGGGAGGACCCCACCCUGCUGGAAACCUUCAGUAGACUCCAGGCCCUGGCACCUGUUCUGCUGGAGGCACAGACACCUGAAGAUCUCGUGCCCCUUGUGGAAAUUCUGGACAUUGCGCACUCGGGAGAGAUUCCGUCCAUGGAACUGGACGCUGUUCUGUCGGGAAACCAGCGCCUGUUGCUGGCGGAGUGCGGCAUCAGGGUGGCGGACAGGGAGGGUAAAGUCUGCGCCCUGUACAUCACAACAAGCAGCGAGCCAGAUUUCCCAAAGGCCGUGGCUAAGAUUGAACAGUAUGGAGAACUCCUGGAGGAUAUCGUAGGUCAGUUAUCAGCCUGUUGUCUCAUACACGUUGUAGUUAAUGAUACAAAUUUGGUGGGUUGACGAGUCCACACCAGUGGUAGGUAAAACAAAUGUAACUCUGAUCAUGACCAGGAGUGAAAGCUGGGGUAGUUUCUCCAUGUCUUAUACAUCUAAUAUAUACCAGUAGUUUCUAUUUUGGGGAGUUGAUCUAAAGUAAAGAAACUCAUAUAUUAUAUUUACACAUCAAUAACUACCAAAUUCUCAUGGUCUCAAUUAGACCACUGGUAAACAAAAGUCUUAAGAAACCUUACUGUGAUAUGAUAUUGGGGCCUGCAUG
Molecule: RNA transcript, 1869 nt
Organism: Branchiostoma floridae (Florida lancelet)
Lineage: Eukaryota; Metazoa; Chordata; Leptocardii; Amphioxiformes; Branchiostomatidae
Exons: 11
Source: RefSeq, a predicted model, not a curated record